GCAGUGGUGGCUCAGUGGCAGAGUUCUCACCUUCCAUGUGGAAGACCUGGGUUUCUUCCCUGGCCAGUGUA
RNAcentral lists this transfer RNA (71 nucleotides) under Loxodonta africana (African savanna elephant). It matches the Rfam family "tRNA". From Rfam's summary of the family: Transfer RNA (tRNA) molecules are approximately 80 nucleotides in length. Their secondary structure includes four short double-helical elements and three loops (D, anti-codon, and T loops). Further hydrogen bonds mediate the characteristic L-shaped molecular structure. tRNAs have two regions of fundamental functional importance: the anti-codon, which is responsible for specific mRNA codon recognition, and the 3' end, to which the tRNAs corresponding amino acid is attached (by aminoacyl-tRNA synthetases). tRNAs cope with the degeneracy of the genetic code in two manners: having more than one tRNA (with a specific anti-codon) for a particular amino acid; and 'wobble' base-pairing, i.e. permitting non-standard base-pairing at the 3rd anti-codon position. The record is from Rfam by way of RNAcentral. Lineage: Eukaryota; Metazoa; Chordata; Mammalia; Proboscidea; Elephantidae.